Molecule: microRNA precursor, 54 nt
Filed under: Marmota monax (woodchuck)
Lineage: Eukaryota; Metazoa; Chordata; Mammalia; Rodentia; Sciuridae
Source: RNAcentral
AUUGUAGCAUAAGUAUAUCCCAUGGAAUAUUUGGGAUAUACUUAGAGUCUAAAA